This 73-nucleotide transfer RNA is filed under the name Dolosigranulum pigrum. RNAcentral's name for it is "tRNA-Ala". It matches the Rfam family "tRNA". Rfam says of the family: Transfer RNA (tRNA) molecules are approximately 80 nucleotides in length. The record is from RNAcentral. Lineage: Bacteria; Bacillati; Bacillota; Bacilli; Lactobacillales; Carnobacteriaceae.
UGGGGUAUAGCUCAGCUGGGAGAGCGCCUGCUUUGCACGCAGGAGGUCAGCGGUUCGAUCCCGCUUAUCUCCA